ACUUAAAUUGAAGAGUUUGAUCAUGGCUCAGAUUGAACGCUGGCGGCAGGCCUAACACAUGCAAGUCGAGCGGUAGCACAGAGAGCUUGCUCUCGGGUGACGAGCGGCGGA
RNAcentral lists this ribosomal RNA (111 nucleotides) under Klebsiella pneumoniae. RNAcentral's name for it is "partial 16S ribosomal RNA". It matches the Rfam family "Bacterial small subunit ribosomal RNA", at positions 1 to 102 of the family's 1533-position model. Lineage: Bacteria; Pseudomonadati; Pseudomonadota; Gammaproteobacteria; Enterobacterales; Enterobacteriaceae. The record is from RNAcentral. RNAcentral also lists the same sequence under 1 other name.